RNAcentral lists this transfer RNA (62 nucleotides) under Anaplecta sp. 3 ZQW-2020. RNAcentral's name for it is "tRNA-Pro". Lineage: Eukaryota; Metazoa; Arthropoda; Insecta; Blattodea; Anaplectidae. The record is from RNAcentral.
CAGAGGGUAGUUUAUGUAAAAUUUUAAUUUUGGGAAUUAGUGAAGGGGGUACCCUCCUCUGA